UACAGAGGGUGCGAGCGUUAGUCGGAAUUACUGGGCGUAAAGCGCACGUAGGUGGCGACGUAAGUCGGGUGUGAAAGCCCCGGGCUCAACCUGGGAAUUGCAUUCGAGACUGCAUUGCUGGAGUACGGAAGAGGAAGGCGGAAUUCCCGGUGUAGCGGUGAAAUGCGUAGAUAUCGGGAGGAACAUCAGUGGCGAAGGCGGCCUUCUGGUCCAGUACUGACACUCAAGUGCGAAAGCGUGGGGAGCAAACAGG
This 253-nucleotide ribosomal RNA is filed under the name uncultured bacterium. Its description in RNAcentral is "partial 16S ribosomal RNA". It matches the Rfam family "Bacterial small subunit ribosomal RNA", at positions 524 to 776 of the family's 1533-position model. The record is from RNAcentral.